UUCUGUCGAAACAACCGGUCCGCUCUAUGAGCGUGUAUCUGGUCUGGUUUUGGCAUCCUCGUGGGGAACAGCUCUGUGCUUGAUUGCAUGGACUGGUAUUCACGACUUUUACUUUGAGGAAAUUAGAGUGUUCACGGCAGGCAAGCGCCUUGAAUACAUUAGCAUGGAAUAAUAAUAUAGGACUUUGGUUUUAUUUUGUUGGUUUCUAGGACUAAAGUAAUGAUUAAUAGGGAUAAUUGGGGGCAUUUGUAUUAACGCGUCAGAGGUGGAAUUCUUGGAUUGCGUUACGACAAACUGCUGCGAAAGCAUUUGCCAAGGAUGUUUUCAUUGAUCAAGAACGAAAGUAUGGGGAUCGAAGAUGAUUANAUACCGUCGUAGUCUAUACCAUAAACUAUGCCGACUANAGAUUGGAGGUCGUUCUUUUUAUGACUCCUUCANCACCUUAUGAGAAAUCAAAGUCUUUGGGUUCCGGGGGGAGUAUGGUCGCAAGGCUGAAACUUAAAGGAAUUGACGGAAGGACACCACCAGAAGUGGAACUUGCNGCUUAAUUUGACUCAACACGGGNAAAACUUACCAGGUCCANACAUAGUAAGGAUUGACAGA
Molecule: ribosomal RNA, 603 nt
Filed under: uncultured dinoflagellate
Lineage: Eukaryota; Dinophyceae
Description: SSU rRNA
Rfam family: Eukaryotic small subunit ribosomal RNA
Source: RNAcentral